This 253-nucleotide ribosomal RNA is filed under the name uncultured bacterium. RNAcentral's name for it is "partial 16S ribosomal RNA". It matches the Rfam family "Bacterial small subunit ribosomal RNA", at positions 524 to 776 of the family's 1533-position model. The record is from RNAcentral.
GACGGAGGAUGCAAGUGUUAUCCGGAAUCACUGGGCGUAAAGCGUCUGUAGGUCGUUUAACAAGUCUACUGUUAAAAAUUGAAGCUUAACUUCAAAGAUGCCGUAGAAACUUUUAAACUUGAGUAUGGUAGGGGUAGAGGGAAUUUCCAGUGGAGCGGUGAAAUGCGUAGAUAUUGGAAAGACCACCAACGGCGAAGGCAGGUUACUGGUACGCAACUGACGCUGAGGCACGAAAGCGUGGGGAGCAAACAGG